Molecule: long non-coding RNA, 213 nt
Organism: Papaver somniferum (opium poppy)
Lineage: Eukaryota; Viridiplantae; Streptophyta; Magnoliopsida; Ranunculales; Papaveraceae
Exons: 3
Source: RefSeq, a predicted model, not a curated record
ACAUAAUAAUCAUUGUUGGAGACUACAGAACUAAAUUUCUCUUUUUUCAAAUGUGGAAAUAUUUCCAAUUAUGGCAGUAGCCGCAGUACCCUUUCACAGAAUAUUGGAAGCUUCAUCUGAGGUUAGCAAUAGCAAAAUAACCACAUUGUGCCAACACAUAUACAAAUCUUCACGUAUGUAUAACAAGGAUGAGAGAUCUGUUUUCACUGCUAG